UCCCUUAUAGUUCUAUUCCAUGAUUUUUCUUGAAAACUGAAGUAAAUAGUUGUUUAUUUAAAAAAAAAAAGAAAAAAUUUGACGCUCUCAAUACCUAUACCCUCGUUUUCUAUUGUUCGAGGUGUUAAUUUCGUCAUAAAAAAUAUUAUUUAUUGUAGUAUCUAUAAUGGACCGAUUUUGAUUUUUUUUCAAUACUUUGGCCCAACUCAAUUCAUCUAUAUAUUACUU
Molecule: long non-coding RNA, 228 nt
Filed under: Lathyrus oleraceus (garden pea)
Lineage: Eukaryota; Viridiplantae; Streptophyta; Magnoliopsida; Fabales; Fabaceae
Description: Pisum sativum (pea) long non-coding RNA (PSAT_LNC006915)
Source: RNAcentral